CAAAAACAGCCAAUUGGAAAGCAAUAGUCAUGCUUGUAAUCCUCCAAGGUACCAACAAAUGAACUAUACCAUUUGAUCCCUCUCUCAGAG
RNAcentral lists this transfer RNA (90 nucleotides) under Laurus azorica. RNAcentral's name for it is "tRNA-Ser". Lineage: Eukaryota; Viridiplantae; Streptophyta; Magnoliopsida; Laurales; Lauraceae. The record is from RNAcentral.